GGGCUAAUGCCGGAUAACAUGUUGAACCGCAUGGUUCUACAGUGAAAGACGGUCUUGCUGUCACUUAUAGAUGGACCCGCGCCGUAUUAGCUAGUUGGUGGGGUAACGGCCUACCAAGGCGACGAUACGUAGCCGACCUGAGAGGGUGAUCGGCCACACUGGAACUGAGACACGGUCCAGACUCCUACGGGAGGCAGCAGUAGGGAAUCUUCCGCAAUGGGCGAAAGCCUGACGGAGCAACGCCGCGUGAGUGAUGAAGGUCUUCGGAUCGUAAAGCUCUGUUGUUAGGGAAGAACAAAUGUGUAAGUAACUGUGCACAUCUUGACGGUACCUAACCAGAAAGCCACGGCUAACUACGUGCCAGCAGCCGCGGUAAUACGUAGGUGGCAAGCGUUAUCCGGAAUUAUUGGGCGUAAAGCGCGCGUAGGCGGUUUUUUAAGUCUGAUGUGAAAGCCCACGGCUCAACCGUGGAGGGUCAUUGGAAACUGGAAAACUUGAGUGCAGAAGAGGAAAGUGGAAUUCCAUGUGUAGCGGUGAAAUGCGCAGAGAUAUGGAGGAACACCAGUGGCGAAGGCGGCUUUCUGGUCUGCAACUGACGCUGAUGUGCGAAAGCGUGGGGAUCAAACAGGAUUAGAUACCCUGGUAGUCCACGCCGUAAACGAUGAGUGCUAAGUGUUAGGGGGUUUCCGCCCCUUAGUGCUGCAGCUAACGCAUUAAGCACUCCGCCUGGGGAGUACGGUCGCAAGACUGAAACUCAAAGGAAUUGACGGGGACCCGCACAAGCGGUGGAGCAUGUGGUUUAAUUCGAAGCAACGCGAAGAACCUUACCAAAUCUUGACAUCCUUUGACCGCUCUAGAGAUAGAGUUUUCCUCUUCGGAGGACAAAGUGACAGGUGGUGCAUGGUUGUCGUCAGCUCGUGUCGUGAGAUGUUGGGUUAAGUCCCGCAACGAGCGCAACCCUUGAACUUAGUUGCCAUCAUUCAGUUGGGCACUCUAAGUUGACUGCCGGUGACAAACCGGAGGAAGGUGGGGAUGACGUCAAAUCAUCAUGCCCCUUAUGAUUUGGGCUACACACGUGCUACAAUGGACAAUACAAAGGGCAGCGAAACCGCGAGGUCAAGCAAAUCCCAUAAAGUUGUUCUCAGUUCGGAUUGUAGUCUGCAACUCGACUACAUGAAGCUGGAAUCGCUAGUAAUCGUAGAUCAGCAUGCUACGGUGAAUACGUUCCCGGGUCUUGUACACACCGCCCGUCACACCACGAGAGUUUGUAACACCCGAAGCCGGUGGAGUAACCAUUUUGGAGCUAGCCGUCGAAGGUGGGACAAAUGAUUGGGGUGAAGUCGUAACAAGGUAGCCGUAUCGGAAGGUGCGGCUGGAUCACCUCCUUUCUA
Molecule: ribosomal RNA, 1391 nt
Filed under: Staphylococcus pseudintermedius
Lineage: Bacteria; Bacillati; Bacillota; Bacilli; Caryophanales; Staphylococcaceae
Description: bacterial SSU rRNA
Rfam family: Bacterial small subunit ribosomal RNA
Source: RNAcentral